Molecule: ribosomal RNA, 350 nt
Filed under: uncultured bacterium
Lineage: Bacteria
Description: bacterial SSU rRNA
Rfam family: Bacterial small subunit ribosomal RNA
Source: RNAcentral
UGGGGAAUAUUGCACAAUGGGCGCAAGCCUGAUGCAGCCAUGCCGCGUGUGUGAAGAAGGCCCUAGGGUUGUAAAGCACUUUCAAUUGGGAAGAAAAGCUAAAGGUUAAUAACCUUUAGCCCUGACAUUACCUUUAGAAGAAGCACCGGCUAACUCCGUGCCAGCAGCCGCGGUAAUACGGAGGGUGCGAGCGUUAAUCGGAAUUACUGGGCGUAAAGCGCGCGUAGGCGGUUGCUUUAGUCGGAUGUGAAAGCCCCGGGCUUAACCUGGGAACUGCAUCCGAUACUGGGCAACUAGAGUACGAGAGAGGGGGGUAGAAUUCCACGUGUAGCGGUGAAAUGCGUAGAUAU